This 239-nucleotide ribosomal RNA is filed under the name uncultured bacterium. RNAcentral's name for it is "partial 16S ribosomal RNA". It matches the Rfam family "Bacterial small subunit ribosomal RNA", at positions 524 to 759 of the family's 1533-position model. The record is from RNAcentral.
GACAGAGGCCUCGAGCGUUAGACGGAAUCACUGGGCUUAAAGCGUGUGUAGGCGGAAGGGUAAGUACCUUGUGAAAUCCCACGGCUCAACCGUGGAACUGCUUGGUAUACUGCUUUUCUUGAGCAAUCCAGGGGCGGGUGGAACAGAUGGUGGAGCGGUGAAAUGCGUAGAUAUCAUCUGGAACGCCAAUGGUGAAGACAAACCCGCUGGGGAGUUUGUCUGACGCUGAGACACGAAAA